GCGCCUGCAAAAUCAGGCGUCGGGAUUGACCUCCUGAAAAUUGUUACAGGCGACACAUGACGCGCCAGCGUCUUUUUU
This 78-nucleotide small RNA is filed under the name Salmonella enterica subsp. enterica serovar Hillingdon. RNAcentral's name for it is "isrK". It matches the Rfam family "isrK Hfq binding RNA". The record is from RNAcentral. Lineage: Bacteria; Pseudomonadati; Pseudomonadota; Gammaproteobacteria; Enterobacterales; Enterobacteriaceae.